This 231-nucleotide long non-coding RNA is filed under the name Coffea arabica (coffee). RNAcentral's name for it is "long non-coding RNA (CARA_LNC007840)". Lineage: Eukaryota; Viridiplantae; Streptophyta; Magnoliopsida; Gentianales; Rubiaceae. The record is from RNAcentral.
CAAAAUAUAGCUGUCGAAAAGAAAGCAUCCCCUCUCCUAUUUCCUCUAGGGAAAGAGUUUUAAUCCUGUGCACCUUCACUGCCCACGAGCCCUCUUUGGUUUCCUAAUUUUUCACUUUUUCUACCAAUCCCGCGGGGUCCGUCCUUCAAGUGUAUCUCUUCAAUUUCUGGCGUGGGCAUGCUAUGAAAUAAAGGGUCUUCUGGAAAUUUGUCUCAAGAGAUUACUUUUAAC